UACCCACCACCAUAUUCUACCACCCACAAAACCUCUCAUCUCUUCCAAAACCUCCUUUUUAAACCUUCACUUCCUUUAUUUAAUUUUAAAAACCCUAAAAUCCUCUCAUCUACAGCCGCACACCCCUCCCUAGUCCGAGCAGAGAUUCCGGCGAUUGCUCCGGCGAGCAUACAGUGACUCCGGUCACACACCUAAAUCUCCCAGCAGACUAGACCCCCACCUCCCUUCUCCCGGUAUCUUUCCAUAACACCUUACCCACAACCACCUUCCUUGAAACCCCUUACUCACAGAUCAGAAAUGGAGGGUUUUUGACAUGAUUUUGGAUGACGAUGUUGAUGGUGACGACGGCAGCCGGCCGACGCUGGAGCUGCAUCGACGACGACUGCAGUAGAGGUGAGUAUCUUUGGUUCAAGUUCGACUUAGAUUUCGUGCUCAGAUUCUGAUGUGGUUUGAGUUUUGGUUCGGGUUCACUUCAGAUUAUGUCGGGUUUUCGGCUCCGUUUCGGGUCUCGGUCAAAGCUGGUCAGCCGCGGUUCGGGUGUGGUUCGACGUAAAAUGUAAUAAAAACGUAAAAUGCUUUAUGAAUGUAGUCAAUGAGUUUUAUGAAUGUAAAAUGUAAUAAAAACAGUGGUAGUUCGGAGUUGCACAUCAGGUGUUCGACAUUUUGUGUCAAUGAGUUUUAUGAAUGUAGUCAGUAUAUGCUAUACAUGUCCUAAUAAUGAUCAGUUGAGGAUUGAAGCAGUUACCAUUACAAAUGCUUUUUUGUUUUAUUAGAAUCAUGUAGAAUCUUGACUUCCCAUAAGUUUAUUUUAGAAACUUUCAUGUAAUACAUGUGGUGUUAUUUUAGGAGAUAAUGUAUGAUUUGUCAUUUUUUAGGCAGAUUAGUUGUG
Molecule: long non-coding RNA, 889 nt
Organism: Helianthus annuus (common sunflower)
Lineage: Eukaryota; Viridiplantae; Streptophyta; Magnoliopsida; Asterales; Asteraceae
Exons: 3
Source: RefSeq, a predicted model, not a curated record